RNAcentral lists this ribosomal RNA (253 nucleotides) under uncultured bacterium. Its description in RNAcentral is "partial 16S ribosomal RNA". It matches the Rfam family "Bacterial small subunit ribosomal RNA", at positions 524 to 776 of the family's 1533-position model. The record is from RNAcentral.
UACGUAGGGUGCGAGCGUUAAUCGGAAUUACUGGGCGUAAAGCGUGCGCAGGCGGUUCGUUGUGUCGGCGGUGAAAGCCCCGGGCUCAACCUGGGAAUGGCCGUUGAAACUGGCGAACUGGAGUGUGGCAGAGGGAGGUGGAAUUCCACGUGUAGCAGUGAAAUGCGUAGAGAUGUGGAGGAACACCGAUGGCGAAGGCAGCCUCCUGGGCUAGUACUGACGCUCAUGCACGAAAGCGUGGGGAGCAAACAGG